CAAUAGCGUAUAUUAAAGUUGUUGCAGUUAAAAAGCUCGUAGUUGGAUUUGUGGCGUACGGUGUGUUCCGGGCACUUGUUGUCUGAGUAACCUGCUGUUGCCAUCCUUGGGUGGAACCUGUGUGGCAUUAGGUUGUCGUGCAGGGGAUGCCCAUCAUUUACUGUGAAAAAAUUAGAGUGUUCAAAGCGGGCUUAUGCCGUUGAAUAUAUUAGCAUGGAAUAAUGAGAUAGGACUUUUUUGCUAUUUUGUUGGUUUGCGCAAGAAGGUAAUGAUUAAUAGGGACAGUUGGGGGUAUUCGUAUUCCAUUGUCAGAGGUGAAAUUCUUGGAUUUUUGGAAGACGAACUACUGCGAAAGCAUUUACCAAGGAUGUUUUCAUUAA
RNAcentral lists this ribosomal RNA (380 nucleotides) under uncultured eukaryote. Its description in RNAcentral is "partial 18S ribosomal RNA". It matches the Rfam family "Eukaryotic small subunit ribosomal RNA", at positions 592 to 976 of the family's 1831-position model. The record is from RNAcentral.